RNAcentral lists this ribosomal RNA (516 nucleotides) under uncultured bacterium. Its description in RNAcentral is "bacterial SSU rRNA". It matches the Rfam family "Bacterial small subunit ribosomal RNA", at positions 8 to 521 of the family's 1533-position model. The record is from RNAcentral.
AGAGUUUGAUCCUGGCUCAGGAUGAACGCUGGCGGCGUGCUUAACACAUGCAAGUCGAACGGGGCGGCGGGGAGGAAUCCCUUCGGGGAGGAGACCCCGCGGCCUAGUGGCGGACGGGUGAGUAACGCGUGGGCAACCUGCCCCAUACCGGGGGAUAACAGCCGGAAACGGCUGCUAACACCGCAUAAGCGCUGGGGGCCGCAUGGCACCCGGCGGAAAACUCCGGUGGUAUGGGAUGGGCCCGCGUCUGAUUAGGCAGUUGGCGGGGCAGCGGCCCACCAAACCGACGAUCAGUAGCCGGCCUGAGAGGGCGGCCGGCCACAUUGGGACUGAGACACGGCCCAGACUCCUGCGGGAGGCAGCAGUGGGGAAUAUUGCACAAUGGGGGGAACCCUGAUGCAGCGACGCCGCGUGGGCGAGGAAGUAUUUCGGUAUGUAAAGCCCUAUCGGCAGGGAAGAAGAAAUGACGGUACCUGAAUAAGAAGCACCGGCUAAAUACGUGCCAGCAGCCGCGGU